UAUGCGAGGAAGGAGCGUGCGGAGCCUUUGGAUGCCACCCGCACGUGGCCCGACUCUACGACGAGGAAGACAUGAUCGCGACGCUCGAACAGCGAAGCGUCGUCGCCUUGGGAGAAAUAGGCCUCGACUUCACCACGAAGUGAAUGCUCUCCGUCAUACAUUUACCAUAGGCGGCAAUUACGGAGAUGAACUUAUGCAUGCAGUGCGAUCAUCAGAUACAAUAACGCAUCUUACGGCGGCAGCUACAGCUUGCAAGGAAUGAUCGUCUGUUCCUUGUAAUCCAUUCGCGGGAUUCCUCACUGGACACCCUGCGAAUCCUGAAGGAGGUGGUGCCUGCUGACUGGCCCAUCCAUCGCCACUGCUUCGCCGGUGACUUGACCGAGGCGCAACUGUAGAUGGACACGUUCCCCAACCUGUGCCUCGGGGUGACUCCUCUUCUGGAGUUUUUCAAUGCUGUUGCUGAGGUCGGCCCCAGGGUUCCGCUCGAUCGUCUGCUGCUGGAGACGGACGCUCCGUACUUCCUCCCGAAAAGCGAGUCCGGCCGCCUCACGCAUUCACAUCCAGGGAUGGUCAACCACGUGGCCACCACUCUGUCCAAAGUGUGCAGGUUCCCUUUUGAAGACAUCCUCGUCACUGUCCGGCAAAAUUCGCGGAAGAUCCACCGCAUUUAAAGCGACCGCGAAUGAGCAAGUCUUUUAGCUUCUUUCAUGUGCAAUUUCGAUUGAAGCAACGCCCGCAAAAAUCUGCUGGGCCAUAUCCAGAGCACAUUUCUUUUAUUUGAGAACAGGGAUGCGACUUGUUGUGAUCAGAUUUCUGCUAGAAAGCCUUCUAGAACAUUUCUAGAAGGACUUAUAGACUCGUUUUGAGCCUCUUGUGCUUAGGCGUGACCUCACGUUGAGUAGCCGAACGCCUUGGCCAGUCAUUUUUCGCGUUGAGCAGGUUAUCGGAUACAAGCUUCAACCCCAACCUGACUGGGAGCCCGUGUCUUAAUCGUUAUGUGCCUAUGUAAUACGGCUUUGAUUUUAUCAGCGCUGUUGCAGACUCGCGAGUAACAGUUUGUUUUAAGGUAGUCUGCAAAAUGUUCCAAGCCGGUGAAUGUUAGCUAGCAACCUUGGUAGUGCUAGGGAAGACCAGCGAAUAAAGUGCGUAUUGACAUUUACCUGUUUGUUUCUCCGGCGACCACUUCUCAUCGGCUAACAAAUGCUAAAUGUUUUCGCUUAGAGCAAGCACGCGCCUGGAUAUUGGAAGUUUCUCAAAGUUAUGCAUGGUUCUAUCACUUGCUGUUAUCAAACCCCGUGUACUCUGAUUGUAUACGCGACGCGAAUUGUGUAGUACUUUCUGGAAGUAACGCGGGAACCAGCGAUUAGGCUGGAACCAUCGACGGCUCAUGUAUAAAAGCCGACGCGCUUAACCUGUUGAUCAGAUUUUUCGACGAUCGCCCACUGUGCUCGCCGCAAUCGUUGUGCUUGACUGUUGCUUGUUUUUUUCUGCGCACAGAUUCGCCCAAUAAAGUUAUUUUCGUGAGCCACAGAUUUUGCUAUUGUGCUGUUUUCCGUCACUACAACAUGGCAUCUGGUGGAGGUGAUUUGCGUUCACGUACCGGACGCCUCCGCAAAGCCGUGAUCCAAGCCCGAACCGCGAAUGCAGCACCAACGUGGCCACGGACCUGCGAGCUAGCCAGAGGCCGCAAGAAUGACUAACGGAUCAUGGACCUCUUCUCGCGAAGGCCAUUGAAAUCAAAGCCAUGUCAACAACCACAAUGGCAACCCCAGCGUCCUCCAUCCUGCUACAACGGCCUAGGGAGCCACCGGCCUCCCUCGGAUCAUCGUUUGAACAGGCGGAAUACUGGUACUAAAUGGCCGCUACAUACAACAGCUGGAGAUCCGAGGACAAGCUGUGGCACGUACACUUCUCCUUGGAAGAAGCCACCAGGACGUGGUUAGAGAAUCGCGAGUUGAGCCAGACAACGUGAGACCUCUUCCGCAGCGCCUUCCUAAACACCUUCACGAGCAUCGUCCGGAAAGAGAGGGCGUAAGCGAUACUGGAGCCGCGUACGCAGCUUCCAAACGAUAUCACGAAUUAAACCGAAGAGAUGACCGCCUGUUCCGCCACGCCGACCCGGACA
Molecule: long non-coding RNA, 2125 nt
Filed under: Dermacentor andersoni
Lineage: Eukaryota; Metazoa; Arthropoda; Arachnida; Ixodida; Ixodidae
Description: uncharacterized LOC126522430
Source: RNAcentral